GGAUGCGAUCAUACCAGCACUAAAGCACCGGAUCCCAUCAGAACUCCGAAGUUAAGCGUGCUUGGGCGAGAGUAGUACUAGGAUGGGUGAAGUUAAGCGUGCUUGGGCGAGAGUAGUACUAGGAUGGGUGACCUCCUGGGAAGUCCUCGUGUUGCAUUCC
RNAcentral lists this ribosomal RNA (160 nucleotides) under Triticum aestivum (bread wheat). Lineage: Eukaryota; Viridiplantae; Streptophyta; Magnoliopsida; Poales; Poaceae. The record is from RNAcentral.